Molecule: long non-coding RNA, 891 nt
Filed under: Rattus norvegicus (Norway rat)
Lineage: Eukaryota; Metazoa; Chordata; Mammalia; Rodentia; Muridae
Description: long non-coding RNA NONRATT023321
Source: RNAcentral
GGAAAGAUGGCGGCGGCUGCGGUUUGAAUUCCAGCGGCGCCGCUUGACUGAGAACAAGAGCUGGGUUGGAGGGGGCGGGACCUGGGGAACCGAGCGCGCCGCGACUGCGGGGUAACCAGUGGCGCUGCUGCUGCAGACACCGGUGCCACCUCUUUGUGUUCAUGAUGGACUCAGGGAUGGAAGAGGACGUCACCCUGCCUGGGACCCUCAGCGGCUGCAGCCUUGACUGGACAGAUGCUGCAUUCACUCCUGGUCAUUCAUCUCUUAACCUGCCCUAGGCCCUCCAGGUGCCUUGCCAUCUUCAGGAUGAAGUUCUGUACUGUGGCUUCCAAGUUUCUCUCUAAUCGGCUGCAUCUGUUCUCUAGCCUCACCCCCACCCCAUCUAUGGUUCCCAACUCUGGGUCUUCUCCAAGCCCUCAGCCCUGUGCCUGACUGCCAAGCUCUGUCAGGAAUGAUCUUACCGAAUUGUUUCUUGGUGCCAGGCUAUGUACGUGCUGUUCUUGCUGUGUCAGUUGCCCUUCCUAUGCCUUUUGCCUUAUUGAUACCCAGGUUCCACUGCUAGGAAAUCCACACUGACAUUCUCACCCUUGCUUGGGCCUUCUGUAAUGUUCUAGCUACCCUUACCUGUCACUGUCCUAACCUGGUUGACUGUGACCAGCGUAGAAAUACAACCUAUGGUGUAUAUUUAAUUAAAAACUUUCUUGUGAACUGGGUGUGGUAGUAUAUGCCUUGAAUCCCGGCAUUCGCGAAGUGGAGGCAGGUGGAUCUCAGACUUUAAGGCCAGCCUGGUCUAUAGAGAAAGUUCCAGGAUAACCAAGAAACCUUACACAGAGAAACCCUGUCUCGAAAAACCAAAACAACAACACUAAAAACUUUCUGGUAGUCACAAUU